RNAcentral lists this ribosomal RNA (497 nucleotides) under uncultured bacterium. RNAcentral describes it as "partial 16S ribosomal RNA". It matches the Rfam family "Bacterial small subunit ribosomal RNA", at positions 28 to 507 of the family's 1533-position model. The record is from RNAcentral.
GAUGAACGCUGGCGGCGUGCCUAAUACAUGCAAGUCGAGCGAACAGACGAGGAGCUUGCUCCUCUGACGUUAGCGGCGGACGGGUGAGUAACACGUGGAUAACCUACCUAUAAGACUGGGAUAACUUCGGGAAACCGGAGCUAAUACCGGAUAAUAUAUUGAACCGCAUGGUUCAAUAGUGAAAGACGGUUUUGCUGUCACUUAUAGAUGGAUCCGCGCCGCAUUAGCUAGUUGGUAAGGUAACGGCUUACCAAGGCAACGAUGCGUAGCCGACCUGAGAGGGUGAUCGGCCACACUGGAACUGAGACACGGUCCAGAGUCCUACGGGAGGCAGCAGUAGGGAACCGUCCGCAAUGGGCGAAAGCCUGACGGAGCAACGCCGCGUGAGUGAUGAAGGUCUUCGGAUCGUAAAACUCUGUUAUUAGGGAAGAACAAAUGUGUAAGUAACUAUGCACGUCUUGACGGUACCUAAUCAGAAAGCCACGGCUAACUACGUG